Molecule: long non-coding RNA, 607 nt
Filed under: Homo sapiens (human)
Lineage: Eukaryota; Metazoa; Chordata; Mammalia; Primates; Hominidae
Description: non-protein coding lnc-GUSB-7:2
Source: RNAcentral
UACAUAUCAAAAACACUGUGCAGGCACCAGAGUCCUGAGAUUGUCAGAGAAUUUCUCACAGCAAUGAAAAGCCACAAGUUGACCAAAGUUGGGGCUUUCCCAUGUGCCAAGACUGGUCUCGAAAUACUGGACUCAAGCAAUCCCCCCACCUUGACCUCCCAAAGUGCUGGGAUUACAGGCCGAGCUAUGACACCCAGCCUUCAGUUAUACAUUUCAAAGAACAUAAAAUAAUUUCCAUUAUAUUCAUUUAUUCUUUCACUCAUCUAAAUACUUAUUGAGCAUGUACUGUGUGCACUGACGCUACGUGCCGGGGAUCCAGAAGUGAACGAGCCAGACGAGGUGCUGCCCUUGUGGACCUUAAAUUCUAUUUAGGGAAGAGAAACAAUAAACAUGUAAACACAUUCCAGAUUACCUGCAGCAAUGGACACACCUUGUAACAGAUACACAGGAAAAUUAGAAGGGGAAACUCUAGAUCAGUGCUUCUGAAAUUUUUAAAGCACAAUCACUUUGGGGUCUGGUUAAAAUGCAGCUUUUCCUUCAGUGGGUCUGUGGUGGGGCCUAAGACUCUGCAUUUCCAGAGAAAACACAACACAAAAUGAAAUGCUUG